RNAcentral lists this ribosomal RNA (253 nucleotides) under uncultured bacterium. Its description in RNAcentral is "partial 16S ribosomal RNA". It matches the Rfam family "Bacterial small subunit ribosomal RNA", at positions 524 to 776 of the family's 1533-position model. The record is from RNAcentral.
UACGAAGGGGGCUAGCGUUGCUCGGAAUCACUGGGCGUAAAGGGUGCGUAGGCGGGUCUUUAAGUCAGGGGGGAAAUCCUGGAGCUCAACUCCAGAACUGCCUUUGAUACUGAAGAUCUUGAGUUCGGGAGAGGUGAGUGGAACUGCGAGUGUAGAGGUGAAAUUCGUAGAUAUUCGCAAGACCACCAGUGGCGAAGGCGGCUCACUGGCCCGAUACUGACGCUGAGGCACGAAAGCGUGGGGAGCAAACAGG